GUAAGAUGUGGUUUCUCCCCAUGAGCCCUCAAAUCUGCUGCAAAGACAGGAACCCAUAGAUAGCCUUUUCAAUGUGACAACCACAUACUUUGCAUACAGAAACCAUUUAUUUUUCAGAACAAUCCUCUGGGGUAGCUGCUAUUAUUAUCCCCUCUUUAUAGAUAAGGAGAUGGAGGCCCAGAGCAAAAGGCAGGAUGAUUAGAGCUGCAUUCUGUGAAGAUCUCCAUGGCAGCAGGACAUUCAUGACAGACAGGAGAGGCCAGGGAUGAGGAAUGACAAAGCGUUUGGUGACUGCAGUGGGAAUAAAGACAAAGGUUUGGACUCCCAAGGUGCCCCCGUGGAUUGAUGAUCAGUGUGGAGUGUGAGGGCAAGAACACUUCUGCCUGGCUCCCCGGAGAAAGGUCAAGAAAGUAUAAGACUUUGUCAUCCUUCAAAACUUGCAGCAGUUUGUUGAACUUCAACCAUUAAUACAAAGCCCCAGACAUUUGGCAGGUGAUCACGGCGUACUGUUGUCUAAAGGACACAGUGACUUACCUGCUGCAGCCUCUUUGUUUGGAAAUAACUUGUUGUCAACUGCCAUGCUGAUGUCAUAGAACACCUCAUCCUCAUCGCGGUCGGCAUCAAACUGGG
This 630-nucleotide long non-coding RNA is filed under the name Homo sapiens (human). Its description in RNAcentral is "HSALNT0009193". Lineage: Eukaryota; Metazoa; Chordata; Mammalia; Primates; Hominidae. The record is from RNAcentral.